This 497-nucleotide ribosomal RNA is filed under the name uncultured bacterium. RNAcentral's name for it is "partial 16S ribosomal RNA". It matches the Rfam family "Bacterial small subunit ribosomal RNA", at positions 28 to 507 of the family's 1533-position model. The record is from RNAcentral.
GAUGAACGCUGGCGGCGUGCCUAAUACAUACAAGUCGAGCGAACAGAUGAGGAGCUUGCUCCUCUGACGUUAACGGCGGACGGGUGAGUAACACGUGGAUAACCUACCUUUGAGACUGGGAUAACUUCGGGAAACCGGAGCUAAUACCGGAAAAUAUAUUGAACCGCAUGGUUCAAUAGUGAAAGACGGUUUUGCUGUCACUUAUCGAUGGAUCCGCGCCGCAUUGGCUAGUUGGUAAGGUAACGGCUUACCAAGGCAACGAUGCGUAGCCGACCUGAGAGGGCGAUCGGCCACACUGGAACUGAGACACGGCCCACACUGCUACGGGCGCCACCAGGAGUGAAUCUGCCGCAAUGGGCGAAAACCUGACGGCGCAGCGCCGAGUGAGUGAUGAAGGUCUUCGCAUGGUAAAUCUCUGCUAUCAGGUAAGAACCAAUUUGUAAUACACUAGGCGCGUAUGUGCCGUUCCGAAUAGGAGAGGCACCGCCAACUUCCUU